UACGUAGGGUGCGAGCGUUAAUCGGAAUUACUGGGCGUAAAGCGUGCGCAGGCGGUUCGUUAAGUCAGGUGUGAAAGCCCCGGGCUUAACCUGGGAAUGGCGGUUGAAACUGGCGAACUUGAAUCUGGCAGAGGGGGGUGGAAUUCCACGUGUAGCAGUGAAAUGCGUAGAGAUGUGGAGGAACACCGAUGGCGAAGGCAGCCCCCUGGGCUGAGAUUGACGCUCAGGCACGAAAGCGUGGGGAGCAAACAGG
This 253-nucleotide ribosomal RNA is filed under the name uncultured bacterium. RNAcentral's name for it is "partial 16S ribosomal RNA". It matches the Rfam family "Bacterial small subunit ribosomal RNA", at positions 524 to 776 of the family's 1533-position model. The record is from RNAcentral.